This 466-nucleotide ribosomal RNA is filed under the name uncultured bacterium. Its description in RNAcentral is "partial 16S ribosomal RNA". It matches the Rfam family "Bacterial small subunit ribosomal RNA", at positions 28 to 507 of the family's 1533-position model. The record is from RNAcentral.
GACGAACGCUGGCGGCGCGCCUAACACAUGCAAGUCGAACGAGCGAGAGAGAGCUUGCUUUCUUGAGCGAGUGGCGAACGGGUGAGUAACGCGUGAGGAACCUGCCUCAAAGAGGGGGACAACAGUUGGAAACGACUGCUAAUACCGCAUAAGCCCACGGGGCCGCAUGGCACAGAGGGAAAAGGAGCAAUCCGCUUUGAGAUGGCCUCGCGUCCGAUUAGCUAGUUGGUGAGGUAACGGCCCACCAAGGCGACGAUCGGUAGCCGGACUGAGAGGUUGAACGGCCACACUGGGACUGAGCCACGGCCCAGACUCCUACGGGAGGCAGCAGUGGGGAAUAUUGCACAAUGGGGGAAACCCUGAUGCAGCGACGCCGCGUGGAGGAAGAAGGUCUUCGGAUUGUAAACUCCUGUUGUUGGGGAAGAUAAUGACGGUACCCAACAAGGAAGUGACGGCUAACUACGUG